This 428-nucleotide long non-coding RNA is filed under the name Elaeis guineensis (African oil palm). Its description in RNAcentral is "long non-coding RNA (EGUI_LNC070443)". The record is from RNAcentral. Lineage: Eukaryota; Viridiplantae; Streptophyta; Magnoliopsida; Arecales; Arecaceae.
CGCCUUUAGCCGCCUGCCACGGGGAGUGGGACACGCGUCGGAUGCGGACUGGCCUGGGGGGAUUCGAGAUCAUUAUGGCGCCGGAUCCCAGGGUCUAUUUAAACCCGUCCUCCCCCCUUCAGGCAUCCCACUCUAUUUCUGAUUUUUUGCUGGCGUCUGUCAUCUCCCCGAGAGUCUGCUCUAGCGAACGCCCUCUCGAGCCGUAGGCGCCUUCCGUUUCUCGCUCCCGGGUCCCCAGUGCAAGAUAGGUUAGUGCCAACCUUCUUCUUCUUACCGCCUAGGGGCUUCUCCUCUUUUCAUUUCUUUUGUGUCUUCUUCUGAGUUGACCUUCGGCGUCUCGUUCCCUUCUCGGUUUGCCUUUCUAGGGUCCUUUAGGUUCUCCCCCCAAAAAAAUGUCUUCCGACUCUUCUGCCCCCGUAAGUUCUGGG